Molecule: non-coding RNA, 725 nt
Organism: Labrus bergylta (ballan wrasse)
Lineage: Eukaryota; Metazoa; Chordata; Actinopteri; Labriformes; Labridae
Source: RefSeq, a predicted model, not a curated record
CCCACUUUCUCUCUCUCUCUCUCUCUCUCUCUCUCUCUCUCUCGUCGCUCUUCCUGCCGGGCUGCUGCUUUGCGCGCUGCGGGGCCACACUGCAACCGCACCGAGGAGGAAGAGGAGAAAGCCGCGGACCAACAGGGGGGCCAGCCUGAGGCAGAGCGGCGGAGAGGCGCAAUUUAAAAGAAGAAGAAAAAGCAGAAGAGGAGGGUUCGAGCGCGCCGUCACCACACGGAUAAAAAAAAAAUCCUCCUCCUAAGAAGCAGCAGCAGCAGCAGCAGCAGAAGGCGGAGACGCGUCACACCGCGCUCUUCCUCCCUCCAUCUCUCUGCUCCGCUUUUCAGGGGAAUCGAACCAUAGGAGAGAAAAAAAACGAGAGGAGGACGAAUAGAGAAAAAAAAAUCUUGUUGGGGAAUCUCGGAGCGCAAAACGACGAACGGCGCGGUGUUGGAAACCUCCCCCCCUCCCCUCCCGGACCAGGGCCGAUUCUCCGUUUUCUAGCAGCCAGCUCGGCGCGGCGACACCAUGAAGGACCGUACGGCGGAACUGCGAAGUGCUAAGGACAGUGAUGAUGAUGAGGAGGUGGUGCAGGUCGACAGGGACCGCUUCAUGGAUGAGUUCUUUGAACAGGUGGAGGAGAUCAGAGGCUGUAUAGAGAAGCUGUCGGAGGAUGUGGAGCAGGUCAAGAAGCAGCACAGCGCCAUCCUGGCCGCACCCAACCCUGACGAAAG